GACGAACGCUGGCGGCGUGCCUAAUACAUGCAAGUCGAACGAAGCUGUUUUAACUGGUGCUUGCACCGACUUAAACAACUGAGUGGCGAACGGGUGAGUAACACGUGGGUAACCUGCCCCAAAGCGGGGGAUAACAUUUGGAAACAGAUGCUAAUACCGCAUAACCACAGAAACCACAUGGUUUCUGUGUCAAAGAUGGUUUCGGCUAUCACUUUGGGAUGGACCCGCGGCGUAUUAGCUAGUUGGUAAGGUAAUGGCUUACCAAGGCAAUGAUACGUAGCCGAACUGAGAGGUUGAUCGGCCACAUUGGGACUGAGACACGGCCCAAACUCCUACGGGAGGCAGCAGUAGGGAAUCUUCCACAAUGGACGAAAGUCUGAUGGAGCAACGCCGCGUGAGUGAAGAAGGUUUUCGGAUCGUAAAGCUCUGUUGUCAGAGAAGAACGUGUGCGAGAGUAACUGCUCGUGCAGUGACGGUAUCUGGCUAGAAAGCCACGGCUAACUACGUGCCAGCCGCCGCAGUAA
Molecule: ribosomal RNA, 524 nt
Filed under: uncultured bacterium
Lineage: Bacteria
Description: partial 16S ribosomal RNA
Rfam family: Bacterial small subunit ribosomal RNA
Source: RNAcentral